UACAGAGGGGGCAAGCGUUGUUCGGAAUUACUGGGCGUAAAGGGCGCGUAGGCGGCCUGUUAAGUCGAACGUGAAAUCCCUCGGCUUAACCGGGGAACUGCGUCUGAUACUGGAUGGCUUGAGUGUGGGAGAGGGAUGCGGAAUUCCAGGUGUAGCGGUGAAAUGCGUAGAUAUCUGGAGGAACACCGGUGGCGAAGGCGGCAUCCUGGACCAUUACUGACGCUGAGUGAGCGAAAGCCAGGGGAGCAAACGGG
RNAcentral lists this ribosomal RNA (254 nucleotides) under uncultured bacterium. RNAcentral describes it as "partial 16S ribosomal RNA". It matches the Rfam family "Bacterial small subunit ribosomal RNA", at positions 524 to 776 of the family's 1533-position model. The record is from RNAcentral.